This 40-nucleotide transfer RNA is filed under the name Phrynosoma orbiculare (mountain horned lizard). RNAcentral's name for it is "partial tRNA-Leu". Lineage: Eukaryota; Metazoa; Chordata; Lepidosauria; Squamata; Phrynosomatidae. The record is from RNAcentral.
AGACCUCUUACUUUUAAAGGAUAGGAGUAAUCCNCUGGUC